This 393-nucleotide ribosomal RNA is filed under the name Salmonella enterica subsp. enterica serovar Anatum. Its description in RNAcentral is "bacterial SSU rRNA". It matches the Rfam family "Bacterial small subunit ribosomal RNA", at positions 865 to 1258 of the family's 1533-position model. Lineage: Bacteria; Pseudomonadati; Pseudomonadota; Gammaproteobacteria; Enterobacterales; Enterobacteriaceae. The record is from RNAcentral.
UAGACCGCCUGGGGAGUACGGCCGCAAGGUUAAAACUCAAAUGAAUUGACGGGGGCCCGCACAAGCGGUGGAGCAUGUGGUUUAAUUCGAUGCAACGCGAAGAACCUUACCUGGUCUUGACAUCCACAGAAGAAUCCAGAGAUGGAUGUGUGCCUUCGGGAACUGUGAGACAGGUGCUGCAUGGCUGUCGUCAGCUCGUGUUGUGAAAUGUUGGGUUAAGUCCCGCAACGAGCGCAACCCUUAUCCUUUGUUGCCAGCGAUUAGGUCGGGAACUCAAAGGAGACUGCCAGUGAUAAACUGGAGGAAGGUGGGGAUGACGUCAAGUCAUCAUGGCCCUUACGACCAGGGCUACACACGUGCUACAAUGGCGCAUACAAAGAGAAGCGACCUCGC